GUCCAGGAAGACUUGUCACCCCCUACAUCGUGCGCCCACAAAAUGAAUCGUGCUUUUAAGCGUGAAUGAGGAUCCCCACGAGAUUGCAAUCCCGCUGGCGCUGUUGACUGUGGUGAAAACAAGAAUUAAGAACGUCACGUUUUCCAACGCCCCCCUCCCCCUUUGCUCGAUUCUUCUUGAGGCGCCAUCUUUGGCUUAUUACAGAUUAAAAAAGUGAUGACACGUCUGUAUCUAAAAUUUGCUUCUUGUUCAAACUGACAAGGUCUCAGUGAAUCCAGUCUGGCCUUGAACUUGCUUGAUGCUGGG
This 306-nucleotide long non-coding RNA is filed under the name Cricetulus griseus (Chinese hamster). Its description in RNAcentral is "lncRNA (ENSCGRG00015036227.1)". Lineage: Eukaryota; Metazoa; Chordata; Mammalia; Rodentia; Cricetidae. The record is from RNAcentral.